Transfer RNA from Monodelphis domestica (gray short-tailed opossum), 71 nucleotides. It matches the Rfam family "tRNA". From Rfam's summary of the family: Transfer RNA (tRNA) molecules are approximately 80 nucleotides in length. Their secondary structure includes four short double-helical elements and three loops (D, anti-codon, and T loops). Lineage: Eukaryota; Metazoa; Chordata; Mammalia; Didelphimorphia; Didelphidae. The record is from Rfam.
UAGAAUGUAGUAUAAAGGAAACACAUAGAAUUUUGAAUUCUUAGAUGUAGGUUCAAUUCCUAUUGUUCUAG